GAUCCUGGCUCAGGAUGAACGCUGGCGGCGUGCUUAACACAUGCAAGUCGAGCGAAGCACAUAAGUUUGAUUCUUCGGAUGAAGACUUUUGUGACUGAGCGGCGGACGGGUGAGUAACGCGUGGGUAACCUGCCUCAUACAGGGGGAUAACAGUUAGAAAUGGCUGCUAAUACCGCAUAAGACCACAGUACUGCAUGGUACAGUGGUAAACAACGUCGGUGU
RNAcentral lists this ribosomal RNA (222 nucleotides) under uncultured bacterium. RNAcentral's name for it is "partial 16S ribosomal RNA". It matches the Rfam family "Bacterial small subunit ribosomal RNA", at positions 15 to 221 of the family's 1533-position model. The record is from RNAcentral.